RNAcentral lists this ribosomal RNA (513 nucleotides) under uncultured bacterium. RNAcentral describes it as "bacterial SSU rRNA". It matches the Rfam family "Bacterial small subunit ribosomal RNA", at positions 372 to 879 of the family's 1533-position model. The record is from RNAcentral.
UGGGCGAAAGCCUGACCGAGCGACGCCGCGUGCGGGAUGAAGGCCUUCGGGUUGUAAACCGCUGUCGUUGGGGAGGAAAUGCAGGGGGGUUCUCCCCUCUGUUUGACCUAUCCAAGGAGGAAGUACGGGCUAAGUUCGUGCCAGCAGCCGCGGUAAGACGAACCGUACGAACGUUAUUCGGAAUUACUGGGCUUAAAGGGUGCGUAGGCUGCGCGGAAAGUUGGGUGUGAAAGCCCUCAGCUCAACUGAGGAACUGCACUCAAAACUACCGUGCUCGAGGGAGACAGAGGUAAGCGGAACUCAAGGUGGAGCGGUGAAAUGCGUUGAUAUCUUGAGGAACACCGGUGGCGAAGGCGGCUUACUGGGUCUUUUCUGACGCUGAGGCACGAAAGCUAAGGUAGCAAACGGGAUUAGAUACCCCGGUAGUCUUAGCUGUAAACGAUGAGCACUUGUUUGAAGGGUCCUCCAUAGCCUUUCAGACGUAGCGAAAGUGUUAAGUGCUCCGCCUGGGGA